UUGACUGCUAUAAGCGCAACUGUUGUGAUUGUUUUUGGAUGCUAGAGGAUGUGUGGUGUCCCUUCUAAAUAAACUAUUGAAAACAUUUAGCAUUUUCUUGGUUUACCUGUGUGAUGACUUCUCAUACAACAUUUAAUUAGGAAAAUCUUUAUUCACCUCAGUUUAUUGUAUGGUGACCAAAAUACUGUUGUCUGCUAGAUCUGCAACAUUACUAGGCCAGCAGCAAGUUUCAAGAUUUUAAGUUUCAGGAAUUUUAACCUGUGAGUGGAGCACCAGUUAAACAUAAUGAGAUAUACAAAUUAUCUUGCAAC
Molecule: long non-coding RNA, 311 nt
Filed under: Elaeis guineensis (African oil palm)
Lineage: Eukaryota; Viridiplantae; Streptophyta; Magnoliopsida; Arecales; Arecaceae
Description: long non-coding RNA (EGUI_LNC042598)
Source: RNAcentral